This 11287-nucleotide long non-coding RNA is filed under the name Manihot esculenta (cassava). Its description in RNAcentral is "long non-coding RNA (MESC_LNC003801)". The record is from RNAcentral. Lineage: Eukaryota; Viridiplantae; Streptophyta; Magnoliopsida; Malpighiales; Euphorbiaceae.
GGGCUGUGUGUCCAGAAAAGUACAUUAGGAAUCCCAAAUUCUUGAGCGGCGUCAAGAGUGAAGCUCAUGCAACCAUCAGAAAUAACACAAGUAACAGGUGGAACAGUAUUGGAAGAAUUCAGCCUGGAAAGAAGAUGAUGAAAUGGGAGUAAGCAGUGCUUGGAGGUGGAGUUACAGAGAGAAGGGAUGUCUUGAGUGGCAUCUGCAUCCGAAGGUGGAAGCCCAUCAGGGAUAGCCUCAAAGUGAAAAUCUGGCAAUCCGUCAAGAGAGUCAGGGCCUCUAGACCUGAGCAAGCGUCUGUGGUUAUACUCUGUAUUGACAAAAGUUAUGUGAAAACCAUUGGAGUGGAGGAUUUUUGCUAGCUUGAGCAUUGAAUUUACAGGACCUUGAGCUGGAUAUGGGACGCACACAGCAUGACAUCUCUCGUCUCUGGCAACGGCAGAAGAACCCAUCUGUUUAUAUAUGUAUUCUGUACUUAAGUCUGCGAGAACCGAAUUUGGUGAUGGAAAAGAAGCUAAAUUCUGCUUCUUAAAACACGAGAGAUUGGCUUGAACAGUUCAAUCGAUUAAAAAAAUAAAACACAGCAGAGAAUUCCUGCCCGUAUCAAGCAAUCAGAGAUCUGCAAUAGAAAACGGAUAUGGUACGCAGACAGCAUUUACUGACGCCAUCGUAAUAAUUGUACUGAACUAACUUUAUUUAUUAUUUUUAUUCUUUUAAGAUAUUUCAUUAAAAGCCCUUACUCAACGUAGGGCCCACUGCUCAUUUAUGAAUGCAUUAAACCUUUAAUGCGUGGACCGUAAGCCAAGUUAAAUCACAUCAAAGUGGUACUAAAUUAAAAAUUAAAAAUUAAAAAUAAAUUUUAUAAGUAAGUUUUUUUAAAUUAUAUAUCAUAAUAAAUAAGUAAAAUUUUUUUAUUAAAGUAUGAAUAAUUUCAAAAUUCAAUAAAAUUUGAUCAACUUAGACACUGAAAGUAAUAACUAAUUAACAAAUCAUUAUAAAAAAAUUUCUUAAAAAUGCCAUUUAAAAAUUAAUAGUGUAAAUAAUUUAUUUUAUUAAUUAAAUUAAAUUAUUAUAUUUUUUAUUUUUUUAUAAAGUAAAAAUACAUAAUUAUUGUUUUUAUUUUGUUAUAUGAUUUUAAUAUAAGAAUAUUUAUUUUUUAUUAAUCAUUAAAAAAAUUAACUUUAAGUAAUUUUCAAUUAUAUAAAAUUUUUUAGAAUUUUUUAAAUAUUAUCAUAGUUUUUCAUAAACUCCUUCAAAUGUAGGGUCCCACAUCAAUUAUUAAGAGGAAAAAUGAUGGGUAAGAGUGUCCCACAUUAAUUAUUAAGAGGAAAAAUGAUGGGUAAGAGCCGAUCAGAAAAUUGUGCAAUAGCUAAAAACGGUCGUAUGAUAAAAUUUCUCCCUCUGAAAGACUAAAUUGCUUAUUUUGAGUGAAAACUUUGACAGCUAGUAAAAGUACACAACAGCAAAUAUACAGUACAACAAGCGAGGGUGAUACUUCUUCAGCCAUUAAAAAUUCCAAAUCAUUUUCUUUGAAGAAAUCCAAGCAGUUGGACCAAAUUCCUGUGAGAAGAGCCACCUGGUGUUGUGGCCUCCUCUGCUUUGAUCUUCCAUUCCAUUGCCUGCCUUUUCAUUUCUUUACCCUUCUUUCCAUCCAUCAACUCUCUCACAAGCUUUUCCACUUCCUCUCUUUUUACAUCAUUAUCAAUCUCCAUUCCAAUACCCCAUUCAUUGCAAGCGAACCAACAAUUGGUCUGUUGCUCCGCGAAGAAUGGCCAACAAACCACUGGAACACCUCCACAUAUACUCUCCAACGUCGAAUUCCACCCCAUAUGACUUAAAAAUCCUCCUAUUGCAGGAUGCUUCAAGAUUUGCUCUUGUGGAGACCAGCUCGCUAACGUUCCUCUGUCCUUGGUUUCAGACCCAAAUUCGGGUGGCAACAUCGCAGCUUCGCCAACCACAAGGUCUGGCCUUAUUAUCCACAAAAAUGGUUUCUUGCUGUUGGCUAGCCCCCAAGCAAAUUCUAUCAUUUGUUGUGGGGUUACCACAGUGAUGCUACCAAAAUUUACAUACACAACAGAGUUUGGUUCUUUUGAAUCAAGCCAGUCAAUACACUCUGGCUGUUCUUUCCACAGAUUUGAACCAAUGUUUAUCAAUUUGCUGUCUGGGAUCUGAUCAAGAAGCAACUGAAGAGGACCAAUAGUAUAAAUAGGAGGUAACAUGGUGAAAAGAACAUCCAACACAUUUUUCUCAAAGGCCUCGAAUGUGUUCAAAAUGACAGCAGAAGCUCUUGAAGUUCUCUCUAUUUCCCUUACAAAGAAAUUGAGCAUGAUGUCAUUUCUGUCAGUAGUUCUGAUAAAGCUUGGAAGAUCCCUUAAGCGAAUAUUUCUCAUUCCUGGAAUCCAAUCUAUGGUUGUAUCCAAGUCCCCAUUUGUUAGAUAGCUCUCAUCUGCAUUUCACAGACCAAAUCAAGUGCAAGAAAGAUUCAGUAAACCUAAGAACCUAAUCUUCUGCUAACUAUAUCUAAAAAGAGGGUGAGAGUAUUAAACCUUUAAGAGGUGUUAAGCCCCUUUCAAUCAGAUGACGAUAAUGAGCAUAGGCCAAAACGCCACAGGAGCUGGGUGUCCAGAAAAGUACAUCAGGAAUUCCAAAUUCAUGAGCUGCGUCAAGAGUGAAGCUCAUACAAGCAUCAGAAAUAACACAAGUAACAGGUGGGACAGUAUUGGAAGAGUUGAGCCUGGAAAGAAGAUGGCGAAAUGGGAGUAAGCAGUGCUUGGAGGUGGAGUCACAGAGAGAUGGGAUGUCUUGGGUGGCAUUUGCAUCAGAAGGUGGAAGGCCAUCAGGGAUAGAAUCAAAGUGAAAAUCUGGCAAGCCGUCAAGAGAGUCAGGGCCUCUAGACCUGAGCAAGCGUCUGUGGUUAUACUCUGUGUUGACGAAAGUUAUGUGAAAGCCAUUGGAGUGGAGGAUUUUCGCAAGCUUGAGCAUUGGAUUUACAUGACCUUGAGCUGGAUAUGGUACGCACACAGCAUGAGGUCUCUCGUCUCUUGCAAUGGCGAAGGAACCCAUCUGUGCUUGUGCAAUUGUGUAGUAAUACUCUAUAAGAGCUGUAGUUGAUCAGGAAAAAUGAAGCUAAAUGCUGCUUCUUAUAACCAAAGAGAGGUUGGCUUCAACAGUCCAAUCAAUAAUAUAGUUAUUUUAUAGUAUUUACACUUAUUUUAUAAAUAUAAAUAAUUUAUUAAUAUAUAUAUAUAAUUUACAUUAAUAUAAAAAUUUUAUAAUUAAUAAAUACUAAAAAAAAUAAGAUGAUGGUUAAAAUAAAAUAUAAAAUCUAGUAAAAAUUUUAAAGAGAUGUUUAGUUUACCUUUUUGUGACAAUAACUAUUUUGUAUAUUUGAUAAAUACUUAUUAGCUAUUUUUUUUCAUCAACUGUCACUGGCUUUUUUCCCAUCCAUUGAUAGUUGAUAAGAUUUUAACUUUUAUUUGGACCAUUUUUCUCCUUUGUUUAAAGCUUUUUCUUAUCCAUUCAUAGUUGAUCAGCUUUUAUACACAAUCAUAUUUUUAAAUAUUAUGUGUAUUUUAUAAUAAAUUAUUAAUUAUAUAUAUAUAUAUAUACAUACAUAUUUUACUAAUUUAAAUUAUAAUUAAAAAUUAAUUAUAAAUUAUUAACUAUUAACAACAUUGUUAAUGCUAAAUAUCGAACCGAAUCAAAUCAAGUUUUCAUAGUCUCGGCUCGAGUUUUAUUUAUUAGUUUAAACUUAAUUUAUAAAAUAAAUAUUAAACUCGAACAAUAUUCGAAUUUAAUUCGUAAUAAAUUCGUUGAUUACAUUAACGAACCAACUUAAAUUCCAUUCAAAUGAAUCAACUUAAACUCCAUUCAAAAACUUGAAUUUGCGCUCAUUUAAAUUUAAAUUUUAACUCGAUUAUAUUAUAAACAAACUUAAUAUAAUUUAAAUAUAUUUAAAUUAUAAAUAAAUUUAAAUUAAAAAUAAAAUUAAAAUUAUAAAAUCAUUAAAAAGUUUAAAAUUAAAUUUUUUUAUUUAAUUAAAAUCUUUCAAAUUCAAAACUAAUAAAAAAAAGUAAAAAGAUUAUACUUUUAUAAAAAAUUCACGGUCCAUAUACUUUUUAACUUUUAACGUGGAAUUGGUGUUAGCGAACGAGUCUGAUCACGAGUUUGUUCGUAAGCAUAUUCACGAGUCAACUCGCAAAUUUGUUUAUAACGAACCAAGCUCGCGAGAUUAAAGGAGUCGAAUACUGCUAAACUAAAAAUCGGCACGUUUAUUAAACGAAUCUAAAAAGUGAGUUUGAGUUCGACUCGUUUAGAAAACGAAACGAAUCCGAUCAAAUUUUUAUCUAAUCGAGUCUCGAAUACCUAUUGAUUACUAUUUUUAAAAAAUUACCAAACAUUUAAAUUAAAUAUUUGGGAGUUACAUCAAUUAUCAGUUAGAAAAAAUGGUAAAUCAAAAUCCUCUUAGUACCAAUUCCAUUAAGUAUAACAAAAUCACGACUAUCAGGUAUUUAUCUUGUGACCUUUUAGGAACAAACCUUUCUUUUUGUUUUUACUUAACUAAAAUUAAAAUUUUAGAAAGUUAAUGAAAAAAAAUUAAUUGGAUUAAAUUACUGUAAAAUUCUAAUUGAUUCUAAACGAAAUUUUGAUAAAAUUGGUUUAAUUCUUUGACAUUUUAGUUCUGAUUUUAUUUUGUUAUUAGUUUUUUAAUUUUGGUUUUGUGAGGUUUUUAUUUAGAUUUUGAUUCUUGAAAUUUUUUUAUACACUUGCUUUUAUGAAACAUUAUACUUAAGUUACUAUUUAAGUUUUAAAUUGUAUUAAUUAAAAUAUAUUAUAUAAUAUUUCUUGUAAUAUAUUUCUAACUAAAAUUAUCAAGGAAAAAAAAGAUAAAAUCGAUAUUUGUAUUGAUAUUAUUACUAUUUUAGUCAUAUAUAAACACGUCAUACAUUAAAAAUAUACUAAUCUAUCUAAAAAUUAAUUAUAUAUAUAUAUAUAUAUAUAUAUAUAUAUAUAUAAUUUUACUUUUUUUAUCAUGAAAAUUAAAAUUGUAUUUCUAAAGCACAAAUAAAAUAAAAUUAUAAAGAGACGCAUAAUAGACUAGAAGGCUAAACCAGCCUAAAAUUAAAAAAUAAACCAAUUAAAUAACAGAAAUCCAACCAAAACCUAACCAAAUAAAUCAAAUUAGUAAUCGAACAAAAUAAUCGAACAGAAGACUGUCGCAUACCAUCCCACACUGCUAUACCGUCUGAGCAUCAUCCAUGACUGCAACAACAGCCAAAGAGAUAAAAAGCGUGAUAGGCAACAAAACCAUAUCAACAUCCCCAAUUAACAAGGGCGGCUAAACAACAAAGAGAUAAAAAGAAUAAAGAAACUAUAAUACACACAUGGAAAAAACAGAAAUAGAGAAGAGAGGCUACUGGUAAUAGAGAAGAGAGGCCACUGGUAAGUGUAGUCCACCGACAAAAGUAGAUCCGAGGAAGGAGCCACCAUAGAGCCCAGCUAAAGAAGGCCGAUGGAAGCGGUAGCCAUCAGACGUAUCGAUGCUGUCUCGGGAUACGAUAUUACACCCAAAGGUAACCUCCCCACGGAAAGUCAAUAUCGAAGCCCUCAAGGUCCUUGCACCAGAAUCUUCCUUGUCAACAGAACCACCAAAGACUGGAGAAACGGAUAGCAAAUUAAAGCAAAAACAAAAGUCAAUCUGGUCAUCCACGGCAAAGAAAAUUCGAGAAGGACGACGGCUCUAAAAAGAAACCCUCAUUCCCUCGUUUUAAAGCAAGGAGAAGGAAAAAUACCACAUCUGGAAAAACACGAAUAAAAUGAAGUCAAUCAAGAGUGAAAAUAAUAAGAAUCAGACCCUAAAACACAAAAAAUUCCUUAUCCUUUACUCUUCUCACUUUACUUUGAUUACAAUCUAAUAAGAUUCUAUAAUAGGGUUUACAGUGUAUGAGUGAGCUUAGCCAGGGAAAAUCUUGUCUCUCCCCCUUUAUCCCUUUUCUUUUUGUCUUCUAGUGAUGCAUAACCGCCAUUCUGCUACAGUGUCACCUGUCCCUGUUACUCAGGUUCGUACGUACGGAUGUGCCAGUGUACCCCUCUCUAUUAGGCGGCCAUUUAAUUCCCCCCGACGUGCAUGCUGAUAGAGCUGCGAGGUGACUGGGCCUGCUGACUAUGCGGUUGUCGAGACCGGUCAAAAAUAACCUUUUUGGUUAUCCACAAUUUUACAACUGUAUAUAGUGAUAAAAGGAUUGAAUCCAUAUGGAAUUCAUACUUACCUAUGUUGUUGGGAAGUCCAUAAAUUAUUGCAACCCAAAGGCGCAGCGGAAAAAUAAAAUUUCUCUGAUUUCCUUUUCCCAGAAUCCGAGUGCUUCGUUUAUUUCAUAAGAAGGAUAUGAAACUAACCUGUUAAUCUCAUCAAGAAUAUACAAUGCCGAACUGAUGGUGCUGCUUUUCCAAACGAACACCCUCUAUAGUAUCCACACAAACGUCUUCUAUCUUUCUAGAGUGCUAGCUCUCUCAAAGAUGGAUAGAUUAUAUGCUCUACAAUCUGCAAUAGUUAUACUAAAUUUUUCUCCAAAAAUUAACAUUAUCCUUCCACAAUUCAUAGAAGGAGUAUUUAUAUGUUUCAGUCUUUUAUUUUUCCCACAAUUUCUUUUCCUAAAAGGAGUUGUGUUCAUAACCCACUAUCACAAUCUCACAGAUACUCAAAUAUCUUAUAUGAUAGAGUUCUUUAUUUGUAACAGUUACAGAUAAAUUGCAGAUCUUUUAAAUAUUAUUAUCUCAUAAUAAUAAAUAAUUAAUAAUAAUAACACUUUAUUAUUAUUAAUUAUAUUAAUGAUUAAUAAUAAUAACACUUUAUUAUUAUUAAUUAUAUUAAUGGGCUUUAGACUUUUAGCUCAUUAAUAUGUCAUAACACAUCAACAACAUGUAUGACCCAAUAGGCUCACAUUAAUUGGCAAUAGGCCCAGUCCCAGUCCCACAAGACUCAUAAAUCAUAAGUGGCCUCUACCAAGACAUUAUGACUACCCAAUUAAUAUGAGGAUCAAUAGUCCGAUAAAGCCUAAUAAAUAGAACAUGUAUUAAUCCCUUUGUCACACGAUAUGUAGUUUGAACAUAAGUCAUGGUCAAUGUCAAACUUAUAAUGUUCAAACUUAUGAUUUCUCGAUCUCUAAGUAGACUGAUAAAUUCAAAAGAUAUUGAUCACACUAUCAAUUCAUUUGAGCACGGCUAUACAUUUCUCAGUCUCACUUAUCGAGGGACCCAGAAGAUAGCUCUUUCAGAGAGAGGGACAAAUCCUAUCUUGAUUGUUCAUUAUCCUCUACAUAAUUUCUAUUAUGCUCAAUCAUAACCUUUAUGAUUGUCCGAUUAAAGACAACGUUUGGUUAUGUCAAAACAUAACAGUCCUUAUAUUAGAAACUAUGACAAUCUCAAGUCAAAGGAUUAAGACAUAACUAUUUUGAGAUUCACUUAUGACAAUAACCCAUGUAGUGAUCUCAGUGCGAGUCCAUCAAAUACUUUGUUCUCUAAUAAGUAUUUAUGAUUGUUAAUUAUAUCAACAUAUACAUAAUCAUCUCAUGAUUAUCAAUCAAUAAUCAUACUAGCUAUAUUUUAUUAUUAUCAACAUAAUAAUAAGUAAUCAGGGAUGAUAAUCAUUAUUAUGUAAUAUGCAAACAAAUAAUAAUGAUAAAAACUUCUUUUAUUAAUAACCAAAACGACAUACAAAAAGGUCUAAGAUAAUGGCCUAGGGCAAAUACACUAACAAUAUAUGCUUCUAUCAAAAACCAAGUAAAUAAACUGGAAAAAAAAAAUAAAAAGGGGGUUUUGAAGUUGAUGAACUAAACUAGAAUUAAAAGUAGUAAAGCAAAACAAAUAAUAGAGUAGGAGAAUUCAAUAAUAAGAAAAGUCUAGUUGAAGCUUUGGAUCCACUUCAGUUGUUGGUAUUGAUCAUUGACACUUAUGUUUUUUUAUUUGACUCAAUAAAUUAGUUAUGGGGUGGAAGACGCUUUUCACCAUCAUAUCUCUCCUUAAGCAUAUAUUAAUUACGAAAUGUUCUCUAAUUAAUCACUAAUCAAUAAGUUGCCAAGGAACGUCAUUGGGGCUUUAGAUUCAUACAACUGUCAAUUGCAUUAAGAAAUAAAGAGACCUAAUUCUAGCUAUCCAAACGUAUGGUGAUCUUGCUAGAUUAUGCAAUCUCCUUGGUGUUUACACCAAGAGUUACUUGUGUUUGAAUAAUUCAAGCAAUUAUGGAACUAAAUUACCCAAACUAACAAAUUAUCACUUUGCAAUCAAGAAUCAAUGGGCCAUAUUGAUCUAAACAACAAAGUAACAAUAGAAUUAAGCAUGAAAUUGCAUAAAUAUUGAUAAAUAAAAUAUGAACAUCAUAGGUUCAGAUCUCCCAAUUCAUUAACAAACUGAAGUUUCACUUAAUCUUCAACUAGAAAAAGAGGUUUUAGCCAAUAAUGGCUGAAACUAACAUUAAAAUCAAAGAAAGAAAGCAAGAAUAAGAAAUUGGGCCGGCUGGGCGGCUACUAGAGGCACGCGAUUGCUGGAGGUGAUGAUCUCUGAAAAAGAUCUCCCCCCUUUGGUUGCUGGAUGGCUCUCUAUUUAUAUCUGAAUGUGAAACCCUAGGUUAUCCCUUGAUUAGAUGGAGUUAUUUUCCAAUUUGGAUUUGAAUUCCUUUUGGCAAUUGAGUUUCCUUGCAAUUUGGACUCCUUGAUGGGCGGAAUUUUGUUGGUGAGGUGUCCUGAAGUGUUUGGAAUAGGACGGACUUCUGAAAGUUUGGAUUUCUGGUUUCCCGCUUUUCUGUUAUUUUCUGCUGCAAAAUCUGUUUGCGCUACUAUUUGGACAAACAGCCAGUCAACACAGUCAAUUAUGUGUUGUCUGUCAUUCUACCUCUGUUCUGCGAGAUUUGUUUGCCUAGUUGUUUGGGCAAACAGCAGGUCAAACAGCAAGUCUGCACUACUCUUCAUCCUUCUCCCGUUUCUGCUGCAACUUGGUUUGGGCAGUUGUUUGGGCAAACUAAGCUUAGCACACCAAACUUGAUCUAUUGGAUUUCUCUUCCAUUCUCUUUGGGUAGUUUUUAGGUCAUUUUUCAUCAAAUCACCUUUUUACACAAUUUUCUGCAAAAAUAUAUUAAAACCAUAAAAUUAGAUAGAAAAUUUGUAAUUUAACAUCAAUAAUAUGAAAAAUGGGCCUAAUUUUGGUUUGAUUACCUGCUCUCUUACCUUCCGUCAUAUCACUGGACUAAGCCAUCCCUUAGUGAACCUGCGUGCGGGUCAGUCUGGCCCGCUUUGGUUACGGGCUGGAGUACAUCAUAUUGGACCGGCCUGCUCUAAGAGAUUCUGAUGGGCUUGGACCUGUAUCUUUCCCUAGGACUCGACUCCUCCCUUGGGUGUAAGAAGCUAGCGAUCAUAAAGAUAAAAUUUAUUUAUUUAAUUUUCAAAUAAAAUUAUAGUUUUCUUAAUAUAAUUUUAAGAUAAAAAUAUAGUUUUUAAAUUAAAUUUUAAUUUCUGAUUUAAAUUUUAAAUUGAACUGCCAUCGCCUCCGGCUGAGCCGUUCAAUAGAUCCAUGGGUUAGAUAGGUCACCACACAAGAUCCUUCCUAAACUCCUUCAAAAACAAAGGAGAUACACUGCGAAGAAACGUUAUAGCUACCACUUCAAAUGUAGUGUCCCACAUCAAUUAUUAAGAGGAAAAUUGAUGGGUAAGAGCCGAUCAGAAAAUUGUGCAAUAGCUAAAAACGAUCGUAUGAUAAAAUUUCUCCCUCUGAAAGACUAAAUUGCUUAUUUUGAGUGAAAACUUUGACAGCUAGUAAAAGUACACAACAGCAAAUAUACAACACAACAAGCGAGGGUGAUACUUCUUCAGCCAUUAGAAAUUCCAAAUCAUUUUCUUUGAAGAAAUCUAAGCAGUUCGACCAAAUUCCUGUGAGAAGAGCCACCUGGUGUUGUGGACUCCUCUGCUUUGAUCUUCCAUUCCAUUGCCUGCCUUUUCAUUUCUUUACCCUUCUUUCCAUCCAUCAACUCUCUCACAAGCUUUUCCACUUCUUCUCUUUUUACAUCAUUAUCAAUCUCCAUUCCAAUACCCCAUUCAUUGCAAGCGAACCAACAAUUGGUCUGUUGCUCCGCGAAGAAUGGCCAACAAACCACUGGAACACCUCCACAUAUACUCUCCAACGUCGAAUUCCACCCCAUAUGACUUAAAAAUCCUCCUACUGCAGGAUGCUUCAAGAUUUGCUCUUGUGGAGACCAGCUCGCUAACUUUCCUCUGUCCUUGGUUUCAGACACAAAUUCGGGUGGCAACAUCGCAGCUUCGCCAACCACAAGAUCUGGCCUUAUUAUCCACAAAAAUGGUUUCUUGCUGUUGGCUAGCCCCCAUGCAAAUUCUACCAUUUGUUGUGGGGUUACCACAGUGAUGCUACCAAAAUUUACAUACACAACAGAGUUUGGUUCUUUUGAAUCAAGCCAGUCAAUACACUCUGGCUGUUCUUUCCACAGAUUUGAACCAAUGUUUCUCAAUUUGCUGUCUGGGAUCUGAUCAAGAAGCAACUGAAGAGGACCAAUAGUAUAAAUAGGAGGUAACAUGGUGAAAAGAACAUCCAACACAUGUUUCUCAAAGGCCUCGAAUGUGUUCAAAAUGAUAGCGGAAGCUCUUGAAGUUCUAUCUACUUCCCUUGCAAUGAAAUUGAUCAUUAUGUCAUUUCUUUCAGUAGUUCUGAAAAAGCUUGGAAGAUCCCUUAAGCGAAUAUUUUUCAUUCCUGGAAUCCAGUCUAUGGUUGUAUCCAAGUACCCAUUUGUUAGAUAGCUCUCAUCUGCAUUUCACAGAACAAAUCAAGUGCAAGAAAGAUUCAGUAAACCUACGUACAGAACCUACUCUUCUGCUAACUAUAUCUAAAAAGAGGGUGAGAGUAUUAAACCUUUAAGAGGUGUUAAGCCCCUUUCAAUCAGAUGACGAUAAUGAGCAUAGGCCAAAACGCCACAGGAGCUGGGUGUCCAGAAAAGUACAUCAGGAAUUCCAAAUUCAUGAGCUGCGUCAAGAGUGAAGCUCAUACAAGCAUCAGAAAUAACACAAGUAACAGGUGGGACAGUAUUGGAAGAGUUGAGCCUGGAAAGAAGAUGGCGAAAUGGGAGUAAGCAGUGCUUGGAGGUGGAGUCACAGAGAGAAGGGAUGUCUUGGGUGGCAUUUGCAUCAGAAGGUGGAAGGCCAUCAGGGAUAGAAUCAAAGUGAAAAUCUGGCAAUCCGUCAAGAGAGUCAGGGCCUCUAGACCUGAGCAAGCGUCUGUGGUUAUACUCUGA